Molecule: ribosomal RNA, 552 nt
Filed under: Mucor sp. SAB-IS-09
Lineage: Eukaryota; Fungi; Mucoromycota; Mucoromycetes; Mucorales; Mucoraceae
Description: eukaryotic LSU rRNA
Rfam family: Eukaryotic large subunit ribosomal RNA
Source: RNAcentral
GGCGAGUGAAGAGGAAAGAGCUCAAAGUUGGAACCUGUUUGGCUUAGCUAAACCGGAUUGUAAACUGUAGAAGUGUUUUCCAGACACGCCUGGUAAAAAAGUCCUUUGGAACAGGGCAUCAUAGAGGGUGAGAAUCCCGUCUUUGGCCAGAGCUGUUGUCUUUUGUGAUACAUUUUCAAAGAGUCAGGUUGUUUGGGAAUGCAGCCUAAAUUGGGUGGUAAAUCUCACCUAAAGCUAAAUAUUUGCGAGAGACCGAUAGCGAACAAGUACCGUGAGGGAAAGAUGAAAAGAACUUUGAAAAGAGAGUUAAACAGUAUGUGAAAUUGUUAAAAGGGAACCGUUUGGAGCCAGACUGGCUNNNCUGUAAUCAAUCUAGGCUUCGGCCUGGAUGCACUUGCGGUUUAUGCCUGCCAACGACAAUUUUUUUUGAGGGAAAAAACUAUUAGGAAUGUGGCCCCCUCGGGGGUGUUAUAGCCUUUUAGAAAAUACCUUGAAUUGGAUUGAGGAACGCAGUGAAUGCCUUUAGGCAAGAUUGCUGGGCGCUUUCGCUAA